CCCUUAGAUGUCCUGGGCUGCACGCGCGCUACACUGAUGUGUCCAGUAAGCACCUAACCUCUUCCGAAAGGAACGGGUAACCUUUGCAAAGCACAUCGUGAUGGGGAUAGAUUAUUGCAAUUAUUAGUCUUGAACGAGGAAUUCCUAGUAAGCACAAGUCAUCAGCUUGUGUUGAUUACGUCCCUGCCCUUUGUACACACCGCCCGUCGCUCCUACCGAUUGAGUGAGCCGAUGAAACUGCCGGAUGUGGACUAUUCAUAGUCUGCAGAAGAUAUUUGAAUCGUAGCGCUUAGAGGAAGGAGAAGUCGUAACA
RNAcentral lists this ribosomal RNA (313 nucleotides) under uncultured eukaryote. RNAcentral's name for it is "partial 18S ribosomal RNA". It matches the Rfam family "Eukaryotic small subunit ribosomal RNA", at positions 1470 to 1796 of the family's 1831-position model. The record is from RNAcentral.